Pelobates cultripes (western spadefoot toad) is the source of this 312-nucleotide non-coding RNA. NCBI's taxonomy places the organism in Eukaryota, Metazoa, Chordata, Amphibia, Anura, Pelobatidae. The record is from the annotation of a GenBank genome assembly.
AUUCAUUGUUUUACACAACCACUUUUGGAAUCUAAUACCUUUUAUAUUCUCUUUUCAGUUUAACCAGAAACCUCAAGGGACUAAAGACUCCAUUCAAGGUUUCAUCAUCUUCACGUCAUGGAAGAGCAUCACUUGAAAUCAAGACGUCUUCGCUUGGAGCCUACCUGUUUCACGUUCAAGUUAUUCAUGUUGUUUCUACCAUUAUCUUACUAUGGAAUUUUACUAGUUGUUCUAUUAUUAUCCUACUUUGAGAUCUUGUGAUGUCGCAUUCUUUAAGAGGAAAUUAUGUCAUAUGUCACGCCUCUUAUACUC